UACGCAGGGGGCUAGCGUUGCUCGGAAUCACUGGGCGUAAAGCGCACGUAGGCGGCUUUUUAAGUCAGAGGUGAAAUCCUGGAGCUCAACUCCAGAACUGCCUUUGAUACUGGAGAGCUUGAGUCCGGGAGAGGUGAGUGGAACUGCGAGUGUAGAGGUGAAAUUCGUAGAUAUUCGCAAGAACACCAGUGGCGAAGGCGGCUCACUGGCCCGGUACUGACGCUGAGGUGCGAAAGCGUGGGGAGCAAACAGG
RNAcentral lists this ribosomal RNA (253 nucleotides) under uncultured bacterium. RNAcentral's name for it is "partial 16S ribosomal RNA". It matches the Rfam family "Bacterial small subunit ribosomal RNA", at positions 524 to 776 of the family's 1533-position model. The record is from RNAcentral.